UCGAACGAUGAACCACCUUCGGGUGGGGAUUAGUGGCGAACGGGUGAGUAACACGUGGGCAAUCUGCCCUGCACUCUGGGACAAGCCCUGGAAACGGGGUCUAAUACCGGAUACUGACCUGCCAAGGCAUCUUGGCGGGUCGAAAGCUCCGGCGGUGCAGGAUGAGCCCGCGGCCUAUCAGCUUGUUGGUGAGGUAAUGGCUCACCAAGGCGACGACGGGUAGCCGGCCUGAGAGGGCGACCGGCCACACUGGGACUGAGACACGGCCCAGACUCCUACGGGAGGCAGCAGUGGGGAAUAUUGCACAAUGGGCGAAAGCCUGAUGCAGCGACGCCGCGUGAGGGAUGACGGCCUUCGGGUUGUAAACCUCUUUCAGCAGGGAAGAAGCGAAAGUGACGGUACCUGCAGAAGAAGCGCCGGCUAACUACGUGCCAGCAGCCGCGGUAAUACGUAGGGCGCAAGCGUUGUCCGGAAUUAUUGGGCGUAAAGAGCUCGUAGGCGGCUUGUCGCGUCGGUUGUGAAAGCCCGGGGCUUAACCCCGGGUCUGCAGUCGAUACGGGCAGGCUAGAGUUCGGUAGGGGAGAUCGGAAUUCCUGGUGUAGCGGUGAAAUGCGCAGAUAUCAGGAGGAACACCGGUGGCGAAGGCGGAUCUCUGGGCCGAUACUGACGCUGAGGAGCGAAAGCGUGGGGAGCGAA
This 696-nucleotide ribosomal RNA is filed under the name Streptomyces sp. YIM 64706. Its description in RNAcentral is "bacterial SSU rRNA". It matches the Rfam family "Bacterial small subunit ribosomal RNA", at positions 62 to 772 of the family's 1533-position model. Lineage: Bacteria; Bacillati; Actinomycetota; Actinomycetes; Kitasatosporales; Streptomycetaceae. The record is from RNAcentral.